This 443-nucleotide ribosomal RNA is filed under the name uncultured bacterium. RNAcentral describes it as "bacterial SSU rRNA". It matches the Rfam family "Bacterial small subunit ribosomal RNA", at positions 338 to 795 of the family's 1533-position model. The record is from RNAcentral.
CCUACGGGUGGCUGCAGUGGGGAAUUUUACGCAAUGGGGGAAACCCUGACGUAGCGACACCGCGUGAGCGAUGAAGCCCCUUGGGGUGUAAAGCUCUGUCGGCUGGGACGAAAAAAAUGACGGUACCAGCAAAGGAAGCAUCGGCUAACUACGUGCCAGCAGCCGCGGUAAGACGUAGGAUGCAAGCGUUGUCCGGAUUCAUUGGGCGUAAAGCGUUCGUAGGUGGUUUAUUAAGUCUGAUGUUAAAGAUCGGGGCUCAACCUCGGGAGUGCAUUGGAUACUGGUAGACUUGAGUAUGGUAGAGGCGAGUGGAAUUCCCAGUGUAGCGGUGAAAUGCGUAGAUAUUGGGAAGAACACCGGUGGCGUAAGCGACUCGCUGGGCCAUAACUGACACUGAGGAACGAAAGCCAGGGGAGCAAAUGGGAUUAGAUACCCGAGUAGUC